Molecule: long non-coding RNA, 5255 nt
Organism: Myotis myotis
Lineage: Eukaryota; Metazoa; Chordata; Mammalia; Chiroptera; Vespertilionidae
Exons: 4
Source: RefSeq, a predicted model, not a curated record
ACAACUUGGGCAUAUGCUCUGACCUGGAUGCAAACCUGGUUCAUAGGUUGACGCUCAACCACUGAGCCAUGCUGGCUGGGCUUUAGUGUUAUCUUAGUUUCUUUUUUUUUAAUUUUCAAAUUGUUGCUACUUACAUUUCAUGACCUUGCUAAAUUAAUUCUAAGUUGCAUGUAGGUUCUGAGAGAGGCUUUUUAAGAGGAUUAUUUGACAAUGUAAAUGAACGUUUUAAAUGCAUGCACCCCUUGCUUAUGUGUGUGUGCAUAGAAAUAGAUGCAACAUAUUUUCAUUUCAGUAUUACAAUAGCAAAUUAGAAAUAACCUAAAUGCCCAUCAAUCGUGGUACACAUUCUUACUACGUAUACUAUGUUGCUGUUACCAAAAAAUGAGGUAAAUCAUUUCUGCUAAUAUAGAAAGAUGUCUGCAUAUGUUAAAUGAGAAAAGUAAGAUACAUAACAUGUGUAAAAUAGGAAAAAUAUUCUGUAUGCAUACUUGGCUAGCUUUAGAAAAUUUCUGAAAGAUACAAGUUUUUUCAUCAAAAAACAGCUUUAUUGAGGCAUAAUUGACAAAGUGCAUGUAUACAAACUAUACAGUUCAAAUUUUAGAAAAUGUAUACACCUUUAAAACCAUUCUAAUCAUGACAGUCAUUCACCAUCAAGUUUCCUUGUACUUUGUAAUUUCCUUCCUCAGCCCCCAAGCAACCCACUGAUCAGCUUUCUGUUAUUUUACCUUAGUUUGCAUUUUCUGGAGUUUUAUAUAUAUGGUGCAUAGUAUAUUCUUUGUAGGUGUGGUGUCUGGCUCCUUUCACUCAACAUAAUUGGCUUGAGGUUCAUUCAUCUUGUGUGUAUCAGUAGUUCAUUCUCUUUAUUGUUGAGCAGUAUUCCAUUGUUAUGAUAUACCACAAUUUGUUUAUUCACCUACUGAUGGACAUUUGGGUUUCCAGUUUUUGUUAUAAAUAAAGCUGCUAUGAAUGUUUGUGUACAAACAAGUCUUUAUGUGGGGAUAUAUUUCCUUUUUUGUUUGGAUAAGUAGGAGUGGAAUGUUUGGGUAAUGUGGUAAGUGUAUAUUUAGUUUUUUAAGAAACUGUCAAAUUGCUUGAUAAAGUGAUUGUACCAUUUAACAUUCCAUCAGCAGUGUCUGAAGCUCCCUGUCCUCCACAUGCUCUCCAGCACUUGCUAUGGUCAGUCCUUAAAAUUUUCCAUUCUAAUAGGUGUAUAGUGGCAUCUCAUUGUGGCUUUAAUUUGUAUUUCUUUUUAAAAUAUAUUUUUUAUUGAUUUCAGGAAGGGAGAGAGAGAUAGGAACAUCAAUGAUGAUAAAGAGGAUCAUUGAUUGGCUUCUUCCUGCAUGCCCCCUACCAGAACAAGAUACAACAGUUGACAUUCAUAAUAGAUCUUCAAGAAGGAAUGGAAGAACACUUGAAUGGUAAAUAUGAAGCCAUGGUUUUACCAUGUGACCUCACCCCUGGCCCUUCUACUCGAGGCGAUGAGUGGUAACCUGGAGCAAGCCAUUUCUCUCUGGAGAAGCUAAAGUAAGAGGACAGAAGACAUUCCCAGGUAGGUGUGGAGAGCCAAGCUGAAAGCCACCCAGACUUAGGCUUGAGGCCAUGCCAUUUUGGAUCAUUUAUUGGUUGAUGAAUCAGCUGAGAAAAUGAGUGCUGAGAGAGGCAAGAGAAGGGUGCAGGGCAACGGAGAGGAGAACCCCGGAAGCUCUGAGAGAUCUUGGUUUCUCAGUUUUCUGAUUCCCAUAAGGCAAUAUUUUUACACUGGCUCACACCUGGCCUCUGGGAAGCCACACAAGUGCUCCCCAGUUCCACAUCUCCAGAUCUUGCCUUGCUGGGGCCAGGGGACACACACAAAGGAUAUUGGGGCUGUGACAGAUGGGAGCCCAUUGGGCAAAGGUGAGUACUGCAUUGGGUCAAGACUGACAAUGAGGACCCUGAGGGUGAGUCCUGGGAAAUCUUUCCUGGCAGAGCAGGCCAUUGCUAGUUCUGGGAGCUUGGAGGCAAGUGGGGCACAACCUGUAAGGGACCUGGUAGGACCCGAGAGUGUUCUUCUAGGCCUGGCAACACCAACUGCUUUAUCCAGCAUCAUAUUGUGGAAAUUAGAGUAUGGGUUCUGGAGCCAUAAGGCUUGGGUUCAACUCCCAGAUCAGCCCUUAAUUAUCCUUGAGCAUGCUACCUGUUUUCCCACCUGUAAAGUGGGGAUUAAAACAGUAUCUCAUAAUGAUGAGGACUAAGUGAGUACAUUUAGAGCAGUCUACAUGUCUUACUGAGAGGUCUCUGUGUGUUAUUGCCACUAAUGUAACUCUGGCACCUUCUCUUAGAUCCUUUUUAUUUUCUUAGAGUCUUUAAGGACUCCAUACUGAAAUAGCACAGGAACAAAUUGCCUGCCCCCAAAUGGUCCUGUUCUCUCUUUGUGCUCAGGGACAGACAUACGGGGUUGCUCCUUCAUUGUGGUGGAAUAUUUAGGGGGAGAGCAGAGUCUCUGGAGGAGGCUGCCCGCCAUAGCUUGUGCUGGAGCACCCUGGGGAGUCGGGGAUAAGCAGUGCCUUGGCCACCUCUCAGUGUCCAUAGAGGGCGGUGCUGCUCCUAGAAACCACACGUGCCUGUCCUGCUCCUCACCUGUCCCUGCCUCACACAGCCCAGGCUGAACUCGGAGCCUUCUGUCAGCCUUGCCGUAAGUGCACCACCUCAUUUUGCACCCAUCUUUAGACUUGUUCUGUACAGUUUUCUCGGCUGGGAGAUAGAGUCUAGCACAGUGCUUGUUAAUGCACCAACGAAUCUUAGCCAUCAGGAUUAAUACUGCAGCACUGGCUCCACCGGACAAUGAGUCUGCUUCCCCAUUCCCAUUGCUGCUGGCCCUGGGUGUUGGGCACACGCCCCUCCUGGUGUAACUUUUUCUAGGUCUCUCUUCAGCCCUUGCCUGGAGCACUCUUCCUGGGGACUGGACACUAGGAAAACCAUAUCUUUGGCCAUCCUGAGCUGUCCCUGCUCCUGGGGCCCUGAGCCCAGUAGCUGGCUUUCCUGACCCCCGCCUGCCUCUGCAGCUUUUCCCAGGCCCAGUUCCGCUAUUCCUUUUCUUUCAUCCUCAGCCCUCGUCUGGCUUCCUUCUAUUUCUUUCUCCUCCAGUCUUCCUUUCCCCCUGUCCUUUCUUUCUCUCCUCAGGAUAACCCUGUGGUCCCUGGGUUCCUUUCUCAUCUGUACUCGAGGAAUCUCGGGGGUUAACAGGAGUUCUGUGCACUUAUCUGUUGGGCUUAGACCCAACAUAUCAUAAUCACAUGCUCCAGACACAUGGAUGUUUCCUUUCAAACAGUGUUUAUGGUGGCAGCUUUCAUCCAUUCAUCCAGCAAAGAGAGGGCUACUCCAUGCUCAGUCCUGGUGUGGAGUAACAGGUAAAUAAAAAAGAUGUGGUCCCAGUUCUCAUGGAGGUUAGUGAGGGGAGAAAGAGAUGAGCAAAUAUACAAGAUGAUUUUGUUGUUAAGUGCCAUGAAGAGAGCAGGGUGAUGUGGGAGAAAGUGACGGAGGUUGUCAGGGCCUCACAAAGAGGUAACACUUGAGUGAGACCUAGAUGAUCAGAUUGCAUCAGAGGACCAGGCAGUCUUCUUUGUCAAAAAAUAACAGGUUCUGACUCCGGUUAAGCAGAGAAGGAAUGCACCGGAAAGGUAUCAGGUAGUUCAGAGAAUGGGUGGGAGGCCUGGAAAAUUAGGCCGGCACAGAGGCGGUUGCUAAAGGAGGCUGGUGGCCAGAACCUUGACCAGAGUCAUCAUCUCAGCAGGCUCUGUCAGGACCCGGCUGCCACUGCUUUGGAGACUGGACACCAUUAGACUUGGAACCUGGACUCACCGGCAUGCCACCCCGGGAGACCUCUGAACAGGGACUGAGUACCUGCCCCACACACAGAGGCUGUGAGUCUGCUCUCUGAAUAAGUCUGCUCUCUGAAUAAGGCCCUCCAAAAGACAAAGUUAAGACGAUACCCAGAGCCCACCCAGACACAAGGGUUGUGAAGAUUCAUUAAGACAGUGCACAAAGCCUUAAAGAUGGGAAAACCAAGGUUCCAUGACCAGCCAAGCUUGCCAGGUACUGUGUGGGGGCUGGAGUCCCGAGUUCCCUGCAAACGGGAAAGGGCUGAUGGGCACUUGGUGGGAUUUACAUCAUCACCCCAGGCCUCAGAUGGUGGUGUGCUUUGUGUUUGCAGCAGAAGGUUCGACCCCUGUGAGCCCUGCUGCUACCGUUGGUGUGUGUGGGCAGCAGGCAGGGGAGAGCCCUAGGCUGGCAGCUAGCAGGAACUCAUGUGCGAGCCCAGCAUCCUACUUCCCCUGAAGUGUGGUGUCCAGAGCACUGGGCUGGGGAUGGGACAGGGGCCAUGGAGCCUGGUAUGCCCCAGCUGUGGUAAGGCUGCAAGGCCUUUCCCUCUCUGGGUUCCCUCUCCCAUCAAGUGCAGUGAUAGAUUGAACACGGAAAUUCCUUGGUUAUGCAUUUUUUUCAUCCAGAAUCCCUGAAGGCCCCUUGGUAAGCAGGGAAAGUCUGGGGCUUCAGACUCGGGCCCCAAUCCUUCAACGCCUCUUUGGAGACCCUAACUCAGGGUACAGACAGGCCACAGGCAGGGUGUCUUCCUCUUAGCUUUCCUGUACUGUUGCCCAGUAUUCCUGAGAGGGCAACCAUCUGGGGUCCCCCCACUACAAGUCCCAAGGCCUGGGGGGGGGGAGGGGGCAGAGGAAGAGAAAUGGAUGUGGACAGGAGGAAUUUUUGCUUCUUUUCAUGCAAAACAAGGGGCCCUUUUCUGUUCUGAUUACAGCUAAUCUGAUGCUGGGAAGAACGAGAGGCAGGGUCCAUCCUCCAGGUUCCUCAGGAGGAGAAAGAGAUCAAAGGUGGGCGAAUUGGGUCUGAGGAUUGAACUUGACCCUGCCCCAACAUCAGUUUCACCACAGGGCUUCUGUCACUUCCCCCACAGCUAGGAGCCCAGGCUGGCCUGGCCACCAGGGAUGGGGAGGGAGCAGGGCUGGGCACCAUCGUGCCUGGGCCCCAAUCCUGUCCUCACACACCCUUCCCCCAGAGAAACCCGUGAGUCCCUCAUAGUGCCCCUGGCCCAACCACCAUUCUCUCCCCUCCAGGUCUGUGCAGACCAUCCCCACUGCCUGCACUGCCCUCCCUUUUGGCUGCCUGACACUCCACUGCCCUUCAAGGCCUUGCUGCAGCAUGACCUUCUCUAGGAAGCCCUCCCAGCAGAGUCCAGAGCACCCGCAGGUGGGCUAGGCUGGCCA